ACGAGGAGCUUGCUCCUCUGAGAUCAGCGGCGGACGGGUGAGUAACACGUGGGCAACCUGCCUGUAAGACUGGGAUAACUCCGGGAAACCGGGGCUAAUACCGGAUAACAUUUUCCACCUCAUGGUGAAAAAUUAAAAGAUGGCUUCGGCUAUCACUUACAGAUGGGCCCGCGGCGCAUUAGCUAGUUGGUGAGGUAAGGGCUCACCAAGGCGACGAUGCGUAGCCGACCUGAGAGGGUGAUCGGCCACACUGGGACUGAGACACGGCCCAGACUCCUACGGGAGGCAGCAGUAGGGAAUCUUCGGCAAUGGACGAAAGUCUGACCGAGCAACGCCGCGUGAGCGAUGAAGGCCUUCGGGUCGUAAAGCUCUGUUGUUAGGGAAGAACAAGUACCGUUCGAACAGGGCGGUACCUUGACGGUACCUAACCAGAAAGCCACGGCUAACUACGUGCCAGCAGCCGCGGUAAUACGUAGGUGGCAAGCGUUGUCCGGAAUUAUUGGGCGUAAAGCGCGCGCAGGCGGUCUCUUAAGUCUGAUGUGAAAGACCACGGCUCAACCGUGGAGGGUCAUUGGAAACUGGGGGACUUGAGUACUGGAGAGGAGAGUGGAAUUCCAUGUGUAGCGGUGAAAUGCGUAGAUAUAUGGAGGAACACCAGUGGCGAAGGCGGCUCUCUGGCCAGUAACUGACGCUGAGGCGCGAAAGCGUGGGGAGCAAACAGGAUUAGAUACCCUGGUAGUCCACGCCGUAAACGAUGAGUGCUAGGUGUUGGGGGGGUUCCACCCUCAGUGCUGACGUUAACACAUUAAGCACUCCGCCUGGGGGAGUACGGCCGCAAGGCUGAAACUCAAAGGAAUUGACGGGGGCCCGCACAAGCAGUGGAAGCAUGUGGGUUUAAUUCGAAGCAACGCGAAGAACCUUACCAGGUCUUGACAUCCUUCGCUACUUCUAGAAGAUAGAAGGUUCCCCUUCGGGGGGACGAAGUGACAGGUGGUGGCA
This 999-nucleotide ribosomal RNA is filed under the name Pseudalkalibacillus berkeleyi. RNAcentral describes it as "bacterial SSU rRNA". It matches the Rfam family "Bacterial small subunit ribosomal RNA", at positions 71 to 1045 of the family's 1533-position model. Lineage: Bacteria; Bacillati; Bacillota; Bacilli; Caryophanales; Fictibacillaceae. The record is from RNAcentral.